RNAcentral lists this transfer RNA (63 nucleotides) under Leptogaster cylindrica. RNAcentral's name for it is "tRNA-His". The record is from RNAcentral. Lineage: Eukaryota; Metazoa; Arthropoda; Insecta; Diptera; Asilidae.
ACUUAAAUAGUUUAAUAAAAAUUUUGAUUUGUGGCAUCAAAGAUGUAAAUUUUACUUUAGGUU